Molecule: ribosomal RNA, 1412 nt
Filed under: Leptolyngbya sp. CENA540
Lineage: Bacteria; Bacillati; Cyanobacteriota; Cyanophyceae; Leptolyngbyales; Leptolyngbyaceae
Description: bacterial SSU rRNA
Rfam family: Bacterial small subunit ribosomal RNA
Source: RNAcentral
GAUGAACGCUGGCGGUAUGCUUAACACAUGCAAGUCGAACGGGCUCUUCGGAGCUAGUGGCGGACGGGUGAGUAACGCGUGAGAACAUGCCUUUAGAUUGGGGACAACAGUUGGAAACGACUGCUAAUACCGAAUGUGCCUUAGGGUGAAAGAUUAAUUGUCUAGAGAUUGGCUCGCGUCAGAUUAGCUAGUUGGAGUGGUAACGGCACACCAAGGCGACGAUCUGUACUUGGUCUGAGAGGAUGACCAGGCACACUGGAACUGAGACACGGUCCAGACUCCUACGGGAGGCAGCAGUGGGGAAUUUUCCGCAAUGGGCGAAAGCCUGACGGAGCAAUACCGCGUGAGGGAGGACGGCUUUUGGGUUGUAAACCUCUUUUAUCAGGGAAGGAUCGAUGACGGUACCUGAUGAAUCAGCAUCGGCUAACUCCGUGCCAGCAGCCGCGGUAAUACGGAGGAUGCAAGCGUUAUCCGGAAUUAUUGGGCGUAAAGCGUCCGUAGGUGGUUUAUCAAGUCUGCUGUCAAAGCGUGCGGCUUAACCGCAUAAGGGCAGUGGAAACUGAUGAACUAGAGUGCGAUAGGGGUAACAGGAAUUCCCAGUGUAGCGGUGAAAUGCGUAGAUAUUGGGAAGAACACCAGCGGCGAAAGCGUGUUACUGGGUCUGCACUGACACUGAGGGACGAAAGCUAGGGGAGCGAAAGGGAUUAGAUACCCCUGUAGUCCUAGCCGUAAACGAUGACAACUAGGCGUGGUUCGUAUCGACCCGAGCCGUGCCGUAGCCAACGCGUUAAGUUGUCCGCCUGGGGAGUACGCACGCAAGUGUGAAACUCAAAGGAAUUGACGGGGGCCCGCACAAGCGGUGGAGUAUGUGGUUUAAUUCGAUGCAACGCGAAGAACCUUACCAAGGCUUGACAUCCUCGGAACCCUGAUGAAAGUUAGGGGUGCCUUCGGGAGCCGAGAGACAGGUGGUGCAUGGCUGUCGUCAGCUCGUGUCGUGAGAUGUUGGGUUAAGUCCCGCAACGAGCGCAACCCACGUUUUUAGUUGCCAGCAUUCAGUUGGGCACUCUAGAGAGACUGCCGGUGACAAACCGGAGGAAGGUGUGGAUGACGUCAAGUCAGCAUGCCCCAUACGCCUUGGGCUACACACGUACUACAAUGCGUCGGACAAAGAGCAGCCAGCCAGCGAUGGUGAGCCAAUCUCAUAAACCGACGCUCAGUUCAGAUUGCAGGCUGCAACUCGCCUGCAUGAAGGCGGAAUCGCUAGUAAUCGCAGGUCAGCAUACUGCGGUGAAUACGUUCCCGGGCCUUGUACACACCGCCCGUCACACCAUGGGAGUUGGUCACGCCCGAAGUCGUUACUCUAACUGCUUGCAGAGGAGGACGCCGAAGGUGGGGCUGAUGACUGGGGUGAA